CAGCUUUGAAACACCAGUUCCCGUACAGUCACCGAAGUUAAGCAAUGUCGAGCCUAGUCAGUACCUAGAUGAGUGACCGCUUGGGAACACCAGGUGCUGCGAG
This is a non-coding RNA of Acanthosepion pharaonis, 103 nucleotides long. The record is from the annotation of a GenBank genome assembly. Lineage: Eukaryota; Metazoa; Mollusca; Cephalopoda; Sepiida; Sepiidae.